GGCCCAGUGGCGAAGAAGCAACGCGGGAGUCUGCAAAACUUCUAUGCGCCGGUGCGAAUCCGGCCUGGGCCU
Molecule: transfer RNA, 72 nt
Filed under: Candidatus Moraniibacteriota bacterium
Lineage: Bacteria; Candidatus Moraniibacteriota
Description: Candidatus Moranbacteria bacterium tRNA-Cys
Rfam family: tRNA
About the family: Transfer RNA (tRNA) molecules are approximately 80 nucleotides in length. Their secondary structure includes four short double-helical elements and three loops (D, anti-codon, and T loops). Further hydrogen bonds mediate the characteristic L-shaped molecular structure. tRNAs have two regions of fundamental functional importance: the anti-codon, which is responsible for specific mRNA codon recognition, and the 3' end, to which the tRNAs corresponding amino acid is attached (by aminoacyl-tRNA synthetases). tRNAs cope with the degeneracy of the genetic code in two manners: having more than one tRNA (with a specific anti-codon) for a particular amino acid; and 'wobble' base-pairing, i.e. permitting non-standard base-pairing at the 3rd anti-codon position.
Source: RNAcentral